This 253-nucleotide ribosomal RNA is filed under the name uncultured bacterium. Its description in RNAcentral is "partial 16S ribosomal RNA". It matches the Rfam family "Bacterial small subunit ribosomal RNA", at positions 524 to 776 of the family's 1533-position model. The record is from RNAcentral.
UACGUAGGGGGCAAGCGUUGUCCGGAUUUAUUGGGCGUAAAGAGCGUGUAGGCGGCCAUUCAGGUCAGCUGUGAAAACUCGAGGCUCAACCUCGAGACGUCGGUUGAAACCGUUUGGCUAGAGUCCGGAAGAGGAGAGUGGAAUUCCCGGUGUAGCGGUGAAAUGCGCAGAUAUCGGGAAGAACACCCGUGGCGAAGGCGGCUCACUGGCCCGUUACCGACGCUCAGGCGCGACAGCGUGGGGAGCAAACAGG